Cavia porcellus (domestic guinea pig) is the source of this 5693-nucleotide RNA transcript. RefSeq lists it as uncharacterized. The transcript is spliced from 2 exons. The record is from RefSeq and is a predicted model, not a curated record. Lineage: Eukaryota; Metazoa; Chordata; Mammalia; Rodentia; Caviidae.
UUUUUUUUUUUUUUGAGGCAGGGUCUGGCUAGGCAGCCCAGGCUGACCUUCAACUCACGGCAGUCCUCCUGCCUCAGCCUCCUGAGUGCUGGCAUUACAGGUGUGCGGCAGCACGCCCAGCGUGAGCACAUAUCCUUCUGAUGAAGCCCCGAGGGUGAGUGACCCGGGUGUUAGGAAACCGUGGCUGUGUGCAGGCGAUUGCAGCCUGGUCUCUAACGGUGGUGGCCCGCUCUCUGCCUGGCUCGCUCAUGGCACUCUGCUUGGGCUCAAACCCACCCCGCUACUGUUUAUUAAGCGCCUCCUGUAUGCAAAGUGAUGUUGGUGCCUCCCUCCCUCUGGGCACACUCCCUCCAGGGAGAGGACAGCGGGCCAGCGGCGGGCAGGGCUGGGGAUGCUGCCCAGGCAGGGGAGGAAGUGGGGGCUGGGCUGGCCGGCUGACGCAGCAGUGAUGUCAGAGCCAGGCCGCAGGCGCGUCCAGCCCAGGGCUGCUGGUGCCCUCUCGGGCGGACGGGCGGCAGGGCUGGCCAGAUGCCUCCCGCUCCUCCCCUCCACCCCCCUUAACCCCUUCCCAGCCUCCCUUUCCCAGACAGCCAUCCCCCGGGCCUGGCCUUGCCCGCAAGAUUCCCAGAUUUCACAACUGGGGCUGGCGCUGAGUCAUGUACAGUAAGUCCGGAGAGAGAAACUCCCGGCUGCCCGGCGUCCCCGCACAGGACGGCCGCCAAGCCAGCCUCCCUCCACGGGCCUGGUGGCAGCCAGGGGUCGUCCCUCUGGGCUGCUGACCGGCUUGGGGGUGCGGGGCAGGCCGCACCCCUUCUCUGGGGGGAGGGCAUGGUUUCUAGAAGCCCCGAGGCUCUGGCGCUCUGGGUUGCAGGUCACAGAUGAGGUAGCCCCGCAUGUCAGAGCUGCCACCAAAUGGCCGGUGACUUGGGCGCGAGCUUGACUGUAACCCUAAGCUGCGGUGUCCGUAUCUGGGAAGUGCUGGGACCGAGCUCCUCGGUCCAAUCGGCCAGGAACGGUGUGAGGAGCUCAGCACAGGAAGGACCUGUGCACGAGGGCCUCGCGACAUCACGAGUAAGACCCUGGGGACAUCGGUCAGUCCUCGAGAGCCGUCCCUCCUGGGACGCCUGCCCACGUGAUGAGAAUUCCUCCUGCCUUUUGAAAACAUCUUCAUUACAUCAGCAAACACUGACCGUGCACCAUGUUCUGGGCUUCUAGGUCCCAGAGACACAGCAGUGAACAAAACAAAACAUUUUGCACGGAGCCUGCAUUCUCCUUGAGGGAUUUGGGAACUUGAGAUCAUUUUCAUGAGUGAUCAGGGCACUGAAGGACACAGAGUGUGGGGCUGGGGUGGCGGAGGAAGCCGGGGCCCUCCUGGAUGCCUGGAUAAACAGCAGAGGCCACGGGACACCUGUCAGGAUGGGGCUCCAAGCAGAGUAGCUGCCCCACAAAGUGCCCUUGAGGGGCAGGGUGGGGAGCCCCGGGGGCCGGAUGUGGCCUGCUGCUGCCUACGGAGUCUAUGGGGCUGCUGCCUGGCAAGGCCGCCUCUCCACACUGCAAGCCCAAGCCUGGAAGCUGCUGCUCGGGAGGAAAGCCUUUCCCCAGUCCUCUGAGGCCAGGCGGCAGCAGGGACUCGGGACUCUAACGCCUUCCCUGAGGUGGCGGCCCAGGGGCUUUGGGUCCCAUUGGAUGGGGAAGCUCAAGGCGUCUGGGUGGGGGCCCUCUCUGCCUCUUGCAUGCACAGGUUCUCUCUGAGCACCUCUGGCCUCAGUGUGCUAAACUGUCCGAUGGGCCCGGGCCACCUGCUGGAGGGACUGGAAGGAGAGGGGACUCUGGCCCCCAGAUCCGCCUUCAGUCCUGAAGAGGCCAUGGGGGAGCAGGCUGUGUGUCCCCGCCUGGACCGGGAGGGCGGGGUUGCUUGUGUGUAUGUGUGUGUGUGUGUGUGUGUGUGUGUGUGUGCAUACGUGUGCGUCCGUGUGCGUGCGUGCUUGUACAAGCACGAAGGGGAUGGUAGGAAUCAGGACUCAAGAGCCGCAGGGCCAUGGUGGCUCCUGAGGCCAGCUGGGACCUGGCGCUGCGUCCCCAGGCUUCAGCAAUGUCCUCAAAGACAAUCUGAAAGUCAUUUCUUUUCUGUAGAAAAAGCCUCUUUUGCUGUUUUCCUGCAGGCUGCGGAGGCAGACAGCUGACACCGUGGUCAGCUGUGUCGCUUGUGGCUUCACAGGGGCGCAGCCGGGUGAGAACUGCCACAUUCACGUGAGAAGGUCCGUGGCCCUGUCCUGCAGAUGGAGCCGCAGAGGCCCCGGGGCGGGAGCGCUGCCGAGGAGCAGCCGAGCCGGGAUUUGUAAUGCAAUUUCAAGACGAGUCUCCUUAAACUGCCCGGCUGGCCUCAGACUUUUCGAUCCUCCUGCCUCAGCCUCGAGUAGCUGGAAUUGCAGGAAGCCGUGUCUGGCCAGCACCUCCAACCGAAUCUGACCUCGGGACAGAUCCUGGGGCCCUGCUUCCUCUCUUCUGUCCCCCAGAGGCACAGGGGAAUGAGUUCCAAGCCAUGGAAUCCCUGGCCUUCUCUGGGCCUCAGUUUCCUCCUUGGUAAUGUGGGGCUGAUCUGCCCCUCCUGGCAUGAAGUGCAGGACCCACCUACGGUCAGGCUCCUCUCCCUGCUUGGCCAUACUGGCUCCCUCACUGUACCUUGAACUCACCAAGACCCUUCCUACCUCAGGGCCUUUGUAUGUGCAGUGCCAUCUGCCUGGAAUGUCCUGCCUUCCAGUCUCCCUGGGGCUGGUGCUCAUCUGUCUGGACUCAGCUGUCACCUCCUCAGCCUGGGACACCCCCUUCCUCUUCCUGCUGAAGGGACGAGGUAUCUCACUCUUCUUUGUGUCAGUCCCAGCUCCACAGGCAGAGACUUUAUCUGUCUGAUUGACAAGGGUUUUCCCAGAGUUCAGCAUGGUGCUUGGUGUACAGUAGGUGCUUAAGAAACGAUUUCCUCCAUUUCCUUCCUUGUGAGCCCCGAGUCUGCUGAAAGCCACUUUUCAUCUGUCUGGUCCCUCAUCCCCCUUUGGGGACAAUCAGGAAGGCCUCAGGUAGUGGGGAAUCCACCUGUGACAGGCUCUUGGGGUCCCUAGGCAGCCGGAGGGGGGGUGUCCAGAGGCUUCGGGUGCAGACACCCUCGUCCUGCUGCUGUGCCCUCCUCCCCCUGGGAUCUGUGGGCUCUGCUGGGCAGAUCUCCAGAGCCAUCCCCGCCCCCGCACAUCUGUCAGCACCCUGCGGGGAAAGAAUUUGGAAAGGGGAGGAAGAAGAAGUAAAGAAAGCCGCGGAGGGGUCGGCUCCCACACCUGUGUAAAUAAUUUGUCAUCUUAAAACACAUCAAGUACACUCACCUUUAGUGCCCGGUCCUUGGGCUUGUUUUCCUUGGCAAGGCCCCCACGGGAGUGGAAUUUCGGCCAAAGGGACCCAAUUGUCAUCUUGUAAGCAGGUUCCCAGGCCGGGGCCGGGAAAGGCUCUGGCUGACUCUCCACUUCCGUCCCCAGAAGUACCGGAACGUUCCUGGGAUUUAAGAGCAGCCUCCAGCUUUGGAAGCUGUCCCAGAAUUCUGGAAUGCUGGAAUUUAAACAGCCUGCAGCCCAUUUUGCAGAGGAGGAGCGUGAGUCCGGGGCGGGGGCGCCUCGUCCUGCGGUCACUGACCUGCCAGGUGAGCUGGCUUGCCAGUGGAAGGGGACACUGUCGCCCCUCCCCCCACUUCCUGCUGGAGAACAUCCUCCCCUGGGAUCCAGGAGGUUGGGGAGUGGCCCAGGCCUCCUGCCUCCAAGGUGCGCAGGUUCUGCUACAGUGAUUGGUCCAGAGACGGUCACGUGAGUAAACUCACCCAAUGAGAUUCUCUCCUGGGGCUUUGGUGCUGGGAAGGAGAUACAAUUGUCCAUCAGAUUGACAGCAAGCAAGGGAAAAGCUGCCUGAGAGACCAGCUCAGAGCUGGGCGGGUCUGAACUCCCGGAUCAAGUCGUACCUGAGAGCACACACUCUUAGCCUCUCUAGUUUCAUAAGCCGCUAGUUUCCUGUUUUUGGCGGGAAGAGUUUGGCCUGGUUUUCUAUCCCCUGAGCACAGAAGUUUCUGACUGGCCCGUGGGGGAGGGGAAGGGGAGGGAUAGCAGGCGGAGGAAAUCGCCUGACAGAGCAUGCAGAGCGACUGUUUCCAGGGAGGCGCGCCCAGGAAGCAGGGAGAAGAGGCAGAGGCCCCCGAGGUGAGCGCAGGAGUUUGUCAGGUUGGGGGGGCGGACAUGGAACCACCCUUGUGCAGGCUUGGAAGGGUGACCUGGCCAUCAAAGGCCGACGGUGUCCCAGACUUGUACAGGGUGACAGAGGACACUGGUGCAAAGGGCAUGGACAGCCCCAGCUCAGUCAGGCUCUGGUGCUUUUGGGGCCGAGCCUGUCCUGCACCCUGACCUGCUAUCCUGGACCCCCAGAUGUGCUCUGUCUUCAGUCUGGACACUAUAGGUACCAGAGAGAGUUACUUUGGGGUCUCCCUUACAGCACCAGAUCAGAAGGGAUCACGUAGCAGGAGUCAUUCCUGUGGCAAAAAUGACAGGCCAUCUGGAUGCCUGGUGAGCCCCGCUUGACGAAAAGGGCACCCCGGGCUCAGGCUCUUGGAGGCAUCUGGCUGCUUCACAGCCCCCUUCCUGCACAAGUGCGGAUGAGCUCGGAGCUGGAACUGACAGGCAAGAGGACUGCCUGGCCCUGGCCCCGCCCCUCAGAGCCCCGCCCCUCGGGGCCCCGCCCAUGCCCCGCCUUCUCAGGGCCCCGCCCCGCGGCCCCGCCCCCAGGCCCCAGGGCCCGCCCUCUUAGGGCCCCGCCUCCAGCAGCCCAGGGUGCUCAGGUCCGCCCUUCUCUCUGCUGCUCCAGAUUGACACCGUGGGGAUCCCAGUGGGUUGAGCCUGUCUCCCCUCCCCCAGACGCCUUUGAGAUGCGCGUGCUGCUAGAUGGUUCUUUUUUAUUACCACCUAGUACUCCAUCGUAAGGAUGGGCCACGAUGUGUCUAUCCAGUUGCGCGCAGGCUGAGGGAUAUUUUUGCUGUUUCGGUUUUUCUGCAGUUGUGAAUGAAGCCGUUAGGAACAUUUGCAAACUGUUUCAUGGCAGAACUUUUGUCCCUAGCAGCACCUUUCAGUCCCUUAAGCAGUGUGUAUCAGUUUUCUCUGACACUGGCGUUGUGAGAAUUUUGCUGUUUUUUUAAAAAUUUCAUCCAAAUAGAUGUGUAAGCCUGGUGUGGUGAUUCACACUUGUAAUCCCAGCACUGGUGAGGCUGAGGCAGGAGAACUGGCCGUUCGAGGCCGGCCUGGGUAACUCAGUGAGACAUUAGCUCAAAAAACAAAUCAUAUAGGUGGGUGUGGCUUUAAUUUGCAUUUUCCUAUUGAUCAGUGCCAUUGAUAAUCUUUUUAUGUGAUGAUGAUGGUAUUAUUUUAGUGUAGAGGUUGUUAAAUGUUUUUGCCUAUUCAAGUUGAUGUGGUGGCAUGUGUCUGUGAUCCCAGCGCACUGGGAGGCUGAGGCAGGAGGGUUCCAAGUUCAAGUCCAGCUUGGGAAGUUAGUGACUUAAGGAAACAAUGUUUCAAAAUAAAACAUAAAAAAGGGCCGGGAAUGUAAUUCACUGUGAAGGCCCUGGGUUCAAUCUUUCAAACCACAAGGCAAACAAAAAAUAAAAAAAUGGAUCAUUA